UGGUGUUCUCAGGGCGGGGUGCAAUUCCCCACCGGCGGUAUCGGGAGAAAUCCCGGAGCCCGCAAGCGCUUCCGGGCAUGCUCGGAAGGUCAGCAGAUCCGGUGCGAUGCCGGGGCCGACGGUAUAGUCCGGAUGGAAGAGAGCAAGG
RNAcentral lists this non-coding RNA (148 nucleotides) under Rhizobium sp. CECT 9324. Its description in RNAcentral is "FMN". It matches the Rfam family "FMN riboswitch aptamer (RFN element)". From Rfam's summary of the family: The RFN element is a highly conserved domain that is found frequently in the 5'-untranslated regions of prokaryotic mRNAs that encode for flavin mononucleotide (FMN) biosynthesis and transport proteins. The record is from RNAcentral. Lineage: Bacteria; Pseudomonadati; Pseudomonadota; Alphaproteobacteria; Hyphomicrobiales; Rhizobiaceae.